This 448-nucleotide ribosomal RNA is filed under the name uncultured bacterium. RNAcentral's name for it is "partial 16S ribosomal RNA". It matches the Rfam family "Bacterial small subunit ribosomal RNA", at positions 29 to 523 of the family's 1533-position model. The record is from RNAcentral.
AACGAACGCUGGCGGCAUGCCUAACACAUGCAAGUCGAACGAGAUCUUCGGGUCUAGUGGCGCACGGGUGCGUAACGCGUGGGAAUCUCCCUUUGGUUCGGAAUAACAGUUGGAAACGACUGCUAAUACCGGAUGAUGACGAAAGUCCAAAGAUUUAUCGCCAGAGGAUGAGCCCGCGUAGGAUUAGCUAGUUGGUGUGGUAAAGGGGCACCAAGGCGACGAUCCUUAGCUGGUCUGAGAGGAUGAUCAGCCACACUGGGAGUGAGACACGGCCCAGACUCCUACGGGAGGCAGCAGUGGGGAAUAUUGGACAAUGGGCGAAAGCCUGAUCCAGCAAUGCCGCGUGAGUGAUGAAGGCCUUAGGGUUGUAAAGCUCUUUUACCCGGGAUGAUAAUGACAGUACCGGGAGAAUAAGCUCCGGCUAACUCCGUGCCAGCCGCCGCAGUAA